GGGCACUUGGCACAGUUGGUAGCGCGCACGCUUCGCAUGGAUAGAUUGCGUGAGGUCGUGGGUUCAACUCCCACAGUGUCCA
Molecule: non-coding RNA, 82 nt
Organism: Suillus discolor
Lineage: Eukaryota; Fungi; Basidiomycota; Agaricomycetes; Boletales; Suillaceae
Source: the annotation of a RefSeq genome assembly